GGGUGGGCUCGGGGCCGGGCCGGGGACUGCAGCGGGCAUCACCGGGAGGUUUGUUUGUGUUGUGUAACCAGGGCUCGGCACGCGCGUUGGGUAACGCCGCCGACAUUUCACCUACUUUCAAGCCACUGCUGCGACGAAUCCGUUUGGCCCCAAGUUGUUUUCGCCUCCAAGGAAAGCUGUGCUCCAAAAGCCACCUUCUUUACCGACUUCUGGAAUGGGAGCGCUCCUGCUGGACCCAUCAGCUUAGUCCAAUUAUUCUGUUGCCUUGUUUCUGAAACUGGCUCCAAUGGAUGCUUAUGGGGAAGAGGAACAUGCUGCUGAAAGCAGAUGGGUUGAGUAUGAUAAUGCUUUUGCCCAGAUUCCCCACUCUAACCAGGCUGGGGAAGACUAUGGAAACCAAAAGUGGCUUUAAGCACCUUUAACGCUUUAGUAAUUCUGGGGCUAGGCUGAGUCCAGCUGCUGACCACUGUGCUAGUGCCAAAGCCUACCCAAGACAGGGCAGACUGAGCGCUGGGGCCUACAGAUCUGUGCCUGCAUAAACCACAUGAAGAGAAACCAUCCACCAAACGAAGACUGGAGAGCACGGCAGUGGGAUGAAAGGACCGCAGUAGUAAGAACUGAGGAUUUCUGGAGGCUUUUUUUAACUGCUGGUUAGAGAAUCAGCUGUGAUUUCAACAGCCACAUCAACCAAACUGGACUGAACCACCUCCAGCACAGAAAAAGCCUCAGGGAGGAGAUGAAAAGUGUAAUUAAUUAAUGCUUGUUAAAAUGCUUUGAGAC
RNAcentral lists this long non-coding RNA (780 nucleotides) under Gallus gallus (chicken). RNAcentral describes it as "lncRNA (ENSGALG00010007245.1)". The record is from RNAcentral. Lineage: Eukaryota; Metazoa; Chordata; Aves; Galliformes; Phasianidae.